This 440-nucleotide ribosomal RNA is filed under the name uncultured bacterium. RNAcentral describes it as "bacterial SSU rRNA". It matches the Rfam family "Bacterial small subunit ribosomal RNA", at positions 338 to 773 of the family's 1533-position model. The record is from RNAcentral.
CCUACGGGUGGCUGCAGUCGAGAAUCUUCCGCAAUGGGCGAAAGCCUGACGGAGCGACGCCGCGUGCAGGAUGAAGGCCCUUGGGUUGUAAACUGCUGUCAGAGGGGAUGAAAUCACGGUUGGCUAUCCUUCCGUGUUGACAGAGCCUCAAAGGAAGCACGGGCUAAGUACGUGCCAGCAGCCGCGGUAACACGUACUGUGCGAACGUUAUUCGGAAUCACUGGGCUUAAAGGGUGCGUAGGCGGUUUAUCAAGUCAGAUGUGAAAUGCCUGAGCUCAACUGAGGCACUGCGUUUGAAACUGAUAGACUUGAGUAUUCCAGGGGUAUGCGGAACUGCCAGUGGAGCGGUGAAAUGCGUUGAUAUUGGCAGGAACACCAGUGGCGAAGGCGGCAUACUGGGGGAUAACUGACGCUGAGGCACGAAAGCCAGGGUAGCGAAC